GGGUGAGUAACACGUAUGGAACCUGCCCGUAGCAGGGGGAUAAGCGGAAGAAAUUCCGUCUAAUACCGCGUAAUAACUCCGAGAGGCAUCUCCUGGGGUUUAAAGGGUAACACCGGCUACGGAUGGCCAUGCGGCGCAUUAGCUAGUUGGCGGGGUAACGGCCCACCAAGGCGACGAUGCGUAGGGGUUCUGAGAGGAAGGUCCCCCACACUGGUACUGAGACACGGACCAGACUCCUACGGGAGGCAGCAGUGAGGAAUAUUGGUCAAUGGGCGCGAGCCUGAACCAGCCAAGUCGCGUGAGGGAAGACGGUCCUAUGGAUUGUAAACCUCUUUUGUCGGGGAGCAAAAGACGCCACGCGUGGCGUUCCGAGAGUACCCGAAGAAAAAGCAUCGGCUAACUCCGUGCCAGCAGCCGCGGUAAUACGGAGGAUGCGAGCGUUAUCCGGAUUUAUUGGGUUUAAAGGGUGCGCAGGCGGAAGAUCAAGUCAGCGGUAAAAUUGAGAGGCUCAACCUCUUCGAGCCGUUGAAACUGGUUUUCUCGAGUGAGCGAGAAGUAUGCGGAAUGCGUGGUGUAGCGGUGAAAUGCAUAGAUAUCACGCAGAACUCCGAUUGCGAAGGCAGCAUACCGGCGCUCAACUGACGCUCAUGCACGAAAGUGUGGGUAUCGAACAGGAUUAGAUACCCUGGUAGUCCACACAGUAAACGAUG
RNAcentral lists this ribosomal RNA (710 nucleotides) under uncultured bacterium. RNAcentral describes it as "bacterial SSU rRNA". It matches the Rfam family "Bacterial small subunit ribosomal RNA", at positions 104 to 811 of the family's 1533-position model. The record is from RNAcentral.